CCCUUAGAUGUUCUGGGCCGCACGCGCGCUACACUGAUGCAUUCAACGAGCCUAUCCUUGACCGACAGGUCCGGGUAAUCUUUGAAUCUGCAUCGUGACGGGGAUAGAUUAUUGCAAUUAUUAAUCUUCAACGAGGAAUGCCUAGUAGGCGCAAGUCAUCAGCUUGCGUCGAUUACGUCCCUGCCCUUUGUACACACCGCCCGUCGCUCCUACCGAUUGGGUGUGCUGGUGAAAUGUUCGGAUCGGCCGUUUGUCGCGGUUUCCGCGGCUCGUGGCUGAGAAGUUCAUUAAACCCUCCCAUCUAGAGGAAGGAGAGGUCGUAACA
RNAcentral lists this ribosomal RNA (325 nucleotides) under uncultured eukaryote. Its description in RNAcentral is "partial 18S ribosomal RNA". It matches the Rfam family "Eukaryotic small subunit ribosomal RNA", at positions 1470 to 1796 of the family's 1831-position model. The record is from RNAcentral.